GUGGGGAAUAUUGGACAAUGGGCGCAAGCCUGAUCCAGCCAUGCCGCGUGAGUGAUGAAGGCCCUAGGGUUGUAAAGCUCUUUCACUGGAGAAGAUAAUGACGGUAUCCGGAGAAGAAGCCCCGGCUAACUUCGUGCCAGCAGCCGCGGUAAUACGAAGGGGGCUAGCGUUGUUCGGAAUUACUGGGCGUAAAGCGCACGUAGGCGGACAUUUAAGUCAGGGGUGAAAUCCCGGAGCUCAACUCCGGAACUGCCUUUGAUACUGGGUGUCUGGAGUAUGGAAGAGGUGAGUGGAAUUCCGAGUGUAGAGGUGAAAUUCGUAGAUAUUCGGAGGAACACCAGUGGCGAAGGCGGCACACUGGUCCAUUACUGACGCUGAGGUGCGAAAGCGUGGGGAGCAAACAGGAUUAGAAACCCCAGUAGUCC
This 425-nucleotide ribosomal RNA is filed under the name uncultured bacterium. RNAcentral describes it as "partial 16S ribosomal RNA". It matches the Rfam family "Bacterial small subunit ribosomal RNA", at positions 354 to 796 of the family's 1533-position model. The record is from RNAcentral.